AAUCAACGCUGGCGGCGUGCCUAACACAUGCAAGUCGAACGCGACUGGGGCUUCGGCCUCAGUUGAGUGGCGAACGGGUGAGUAACACGUGGGUGACCUACCUUCGAAUGGGGGAUAACGUCCCGAAAGGGACGCUAAUACCGCAUAACAUCCUGCCUUUGAACAGGCGGAGAUCAAAGCCGGGGACCGCAAGGCCUGGCGCUAACAGAUGAGCCCAAGUCGGAUUAGCUAGUUGGAGGUAACGGCUACCAAGGCACGAUCCGUAACUGGUCUGAGAGGACGACCAGUCACACCGGAACUGAGACACGGUCCGGACUCCUACGGGAGGCAGCAGUGGGGAAUAUUGGACAAUGGGCGAAAGCCUGAUCCAG
Molecule: ribosomal RNA, 371 nt
Filed under: uncultured bacterium
Lineage: Bacteria
Description: partial 16S ribosomal RNA
Rfam family: Bacterial small subunit ribosomal RNA
Source: RNAcentral